AAAAAAAAAAAAAAGAAAGUUCUGGCCACCCUAGAAGAUGCCAGCUUGAAAGUCCUGGAAAAUAAUAUUGGCAACAUGUUGUACAAGACCUUGAAUACUAGAAUGAAAUGAUAUGGUAUAAAUUGAUUUUUUUUUUUUACUGGAAGAGAUAAGCCUAAAAAUUAAAAUGCUACUGUACAUUACUAAAGUAAUUUGGAAAUAAUCUUUCUUGACUAUUAACUUUGGGAUAAAUUUUUGAAAGGGUGCUUUAGGUAUUACAUAUAGGGAACUAUGUCAUCAUGAAAUUUGAGACAUAAUGCUAAUGAAAGUGGGAACAUAUUAAAUUCUUAUGGUCUAAUAAUUACCUCAGGCUUAGCUUACAACAUUAGUCCAGAGUUUGGAGAAUUAAAAUGAUUUUUAUUGUUUGACAUGGAAAAAUAAUUCUAAAUUUAUGGGAAGAGUCAUUAGAGCCAGAUAGAUAAAUUCAUCUGAAAUAUGCCAUGUGAAAAGAGCAAUAAGAUACAUUUCCUCAAGAAUUUUCAAGAUAACAUAAUAUACUUCUCACUUUAUGGUAAAAUACCCCUUUAUUAUCUGGGUCAAUAGUUUACUAUUACAAUAUAAAUCAUAGAAAAGGAAUAUAUUUUUGAGUCCAUGUAAAACACAUUCCAGAUAGAGGCUGAUCUCUAUUUUCAUUUUAUCCAGUAUUCUCAUUUCUUCAUAUUCUGAGAAGACUUGCAUUCAUGAUGUCAUUACUCCGUCAUUAUUUUCCAUUUUGUUAAAAUACUACUGCGCAACCCUGAAACACAUUCCUCAUAAUCUUAGCUAAUGGAAGAGCUUGCCACAGGUGGUAGAGCCUGGACAAACGAGAUCUGGAAAGGGUACGACUAAUAUUUGCUGCUACUUUCAGAUUGUAAUAGCUACCAGGGGACUGUAGAAUAGGUAAUGGAUUUUUUAAAACUGAGUAAAGAGUGGUGCUCUGUCACACUUAACUGAAAUAGAUUAAAAAAUUAAUUUUAAUCAGUAGUUCUUAACUUUUUAAUGUGUUGAGAAUCUAAUGAAAGUUAUCGACUCCCCAGAAAAAUACAGAGUUGUAUAUACAGCCGAAAAUUUGCAUGUGCCUGAAGGUUUUACGAACCUCCUGAAUGUCUCAUUGAAUGCCAGGUAAAGAAUUCCUCUAUCAGUUCUGUUACUUUAAUGGAUAGAAUUGUAGCUAUGUAUCUUUCAAGAGCUAAGUGAGUAGUUAAUGUUAUAUACAGUGAUGGAGGAGGGAGCCCUAGUUAUCUGUAUAUCACUCUCUCAACUCCCAAAGUGAGGAGGUUGCCUAGGAAAGUGAAAGUAUACCAAACACUAGACUAUUCACAAAGGAAGUAGACCCCUUCUUAUAAAGACCCCUACUUAUAAAGUAGACCCCUUUCCCUGUUGUUUAUAUACCUCCUGUUAUAUACUCAUGUUAUAUAUUCAUAGGCCAGUUUCUCUAUGAUUAUUGGAUAUUGUAAACAUCUGAUGUUAACAUUUUAAAAUGAGCAUAUAAAUAUCAAAAAUAUAUAAAUCAAAAGCAAAUUAUUUGAGUACCUAAGAAUCAAGAGAGAUCCUGGGGAAACUGAUGGAUGUCUAGAAUAUUUUUGUAGAAAUGAGACUUACUACAGUAAAACAGGUAUAUUAUUUAUCAAACAAUUUUGUUACAAAAAGCAUCAGCUAUCGCUGGACUCUAAUAUACAAUUAACCAAGCUUUGUUCAUUCAAAGAAUCAAUGCAUAAUUGUAAUUAUAAUAAAGUUUGUUUAAAAUAAGAUAAAAGUUUUAUUUUAAUUACUUUCUGUUAUCUUUUCAAGAUAAUGUCUCAUUCAAUCUUUUGUCUCUACUUAUUAUAAAAUAUUGGCUAUCAUCUUUUCAUGGAUUCACAUUAAGCAGCCUUUCUAAUUCCAAAUUAUCUUGAAAUAACAAGUGCCUCCUAUGAGUACCUCUUCAUAUUGUUUUCUUUAUUAGUGUCCUUUCCCAUAACUGCAGAAUUUAUACAUACAGACUAACUUUUCUCAGUUUACGGACAUGAUAUCAGUGACUAUAGCCUUCUUUCUGUGGGUACAAAAGCUCUAAAUAAUAAAUACCCAGAUGAGCUAGGGACAUUGAGAAAUAGCCUUCCUCGUUUUUUUUAACUCAUUUUUUUCCACUCACAUGACUGUAAAUAAAAUAUUUAAUAGCUCUUACUUUAAAAAAAUUAGGCAUGAGUUUCUUGAUUUGGCAUGCUCAUUUACCUUUAUGUCAGGGGAGAAGUUAGAUUUCUCAACAUUAAGAAGAAUGUAUUUUUUCUUUGUUUUGCUAGAUUGAGUCAUAUUUGAAUUUUAUUAUACUUCAAAGUGUCAUGAAAAUACUUUUUUGCGGUUCUGAUAUUGUGGAAUUUUGAUGUUUAAAUUAAUAAAUGUCAUAACUAUAAGUGUUUUAAUGUUUUUACAAUAUCCCUAGGCUGAUAUUUAGUGAUCUUAUAAUAUCUAAGAUGUAGAUGAAAACUGGAAUCAAUUAAUCAUUUGCUGUGUUAUCAGCACUAGAUCAACCAUCUGGGUUUCUUGAAAACACCUGAAGGAUUGAAUUUUGCUUCAGUAUUGAUAAUGACACAGCCCAUAUACGCUACAUGGAAUGACAUCAUUUGCCCUUCCAGUGGCCCGCAUGUUGAUAAGUAUAAGAUGUCAACUUGAGUUAGUGUAAGUUACAUAUACAGAGAUUUCAUUAAAUGUGCUUAACAAAUACUGAACACAUUUAGAGUGUUGCUGAUUUAAUGUGUCAUAUGACCUUCCUAUAAUCAUUAGUCUUUGCAUAUACCAAUAUUUUUCAUUUGCAUAAUAUUUAAUUUGUAAACAAGGAAAUGAUUAAAAAACUGAUAAAAAUAGUUAUCUUAAAAUUUUUGUGUUACCUUUUUUUCUGUGAAGUUCAUAGAGAAUUUGAGUGUAUAAGAGAUUAUCAGAAAAUACUUAUUUUGAUUAAAAAAAAACAACCUCCCACUGGAUUCAACUAAUUGAAUCAUGAAAUGCUACUAUUCAUUGUUGUAUACAUAAAAGGGAAUGUUUUGUCUUCUUCUUGUGAAAGGAUUUGUGUAUGUAUUUCUACAUAUCCAAAUUGUUUCUCUUAACCCUCAGUAAAAUGUGUUUUUCCUACAUUUAUUUAAUAGGCUUCAAGAAUAAAGCUAAAGACUUUUGUGUUUGCAAUGCUACCUCCCCCAUUCCUGCACUACCAUUUUUUUUCAAAAUUUCUGUAUUGUCAACUUUAUUUUUUCCAAAGAAAUAAAUUCUAUCUCUGUGUUAUUUAAAACUGGUGGUUAUAUGUAACAAACAAAUGAGUAAAUAUGCAAAAGAAAUGGUAGAUUAUUAUUUUGCUGAAAGAAUUAUAUACGAUCAGAAAGUUACAUGUUAUGUUAAUCUUUAAUAUACUGAAGUUUAAAAACUAACUAAAUUCAAGGAUCUUAUCUAACAGCACUGCAGUUGCUUAUGGCAUACAAGGCUAAAACUAAGUUAGCUAUUUAAUCUUAAUAAUAACAAUGUAGUUAAAAAUCUUUGACUUUAAUAGUGUUCUAUAUAUAUGAAUAGCUAAAGUAAUGUUCCUAUAACUGUAAUCUAACAUUGCUUAGAUCAAGAAAACAUUGCUAGUGUAAUGAGACCAUAGGAUUUGUAAUUAUUGCUAUUUUUCAUUUUUAAUAACAAAGUAUGUGUCUUAUUUUAUAGGAAAAUGAAGAAAAUUGGUGUAUACUCUAAUACAUACAUAAAUCUUUGUGCACACGCUUUAAAAAAUGUACCAAUAUUUUCUUCGUAUAUAUUAAAUGAAUGCAUACACUUAUUAAAUGCUUUAAUGUACUUUUUACUCUGCCUUUGUCUAUAGACUGCACUGGAAAAUGCAGAAUGUGGGUUAAUCAUCUGAAAGGAUACUUAACA
RNAcentral lists this long non-coding RNA (3894 nucleotides) under Lynx pardinus (Iberian lynx). The record is from RNAcentral. Lineage: Eukaryota; Metazoa; Chordata; Mammalia; Carnivora; Felidae.